Molecule: ribosomal RNA, 1020 nt
Filed under: Teichospora thailandica
Lineage: Eukaryota; Fungi; Ascomycota; Dothideomycetes; Pleosporales; Teichosporaceae
Description: SSU rRNA
Rfam family: Eukaryotic small subunit ribosomal RNA
Source: RNAcentral
UAUACCGUGAAACUGCGAAUGGCUCAUUAAAUCAGUUAUCGUUUAUUUGAUAGUACCUUACUACUUGGAUAACCGUGGUAAUUCUAGAGCUAAUACAUGCUGAAAACCUCGACUUCGGAAGGGGUGUAUUUAUUAGAUAAAAAACCAACGCCCUUCGGGGCUUCUUGGUGAUUCAUGAUAACUUUACGGAUCGCAUGGCCUUGCGCCGGCGACGGUUCAUUCAAAUUUCUGCCCUAUCAACUUUCGAUGGUAAGGUAUUGGCUUACCAUGGUUUCAACGGGUAACGGGGAAUUAGGGUUCGAUUCCGGAGAGGGAGCCUGAGAAACGGCUACCACAUCCAAGGAAGGCAGCAGGCGCGCAAAUUACCCAAUCCCGACACGGGGAGGUAGUGACAAUAAAUACUGAUACAGGGCUCUUUUGGGUCUUGUAAUUGGAAUGAGUACAAUUUAAACCUCUUAACGAGGAACAAUUGGAGGGCAAGUCUGGUGCCAGCAGCCGCGGUAAUUCCAGCUCCAAUAGCGUAUAUUAAAGUUGUUGCAGUUAAAAAGCUCGUAGUUGAAACUUGGGUCUGGCUGGCAGGUCCGCCUCACCGCGUGUACUUGUCCGGCCGGGCCUUCCUUCUGGAGAACCUCAUGCUCUUCACUGGGCGUGUUGGGGACCAGGACUUUUACUUUGAAAAAAUUAGAGUGUUCAAAGCAGGCCUUUGCUCGAAUACGUUAGCAUGGAAUAAUAGAAUAGGACGUGCGGUCCUAUUUUGUUGGUUUCUAGGACCGCCGUAAUGAUUAAUAGGGACAGUCGGGGGCAUCAGUAUUCAAUUGUCAGAGGUGAAAUUCUUGGAUUUAUUGAAGACUAACUACUGCGAAAGCAUUUGCCAAGGAUGUUUUCAUUAAUCAGUGAACGAAAGUUAGGGGAUCGAAGACGAUCAGAUACCGUCGUAGUCUUAACCGUAAACUAUGCCGACUAGGGAUCGGGCGAUGUUCUUUUUCUGACUCGCUCGGCACCUUACGAGAAAUCAAAGUU